This 478-nucleotide long non-coding RNA is filed under the name Scophthalmus maximus (turbot). RNAcentral's name for it is "lncRNA (ENSSMAG00000024119.1)". The record is from RNAcentral. Lineage: Eukaryota; Metazoa; Chordata; Actinopteri; Pleuronectiformes; Scophthalmidae.
UAAAUAUUAUGCAGUGUUGACAUCAUAUUGACCAAUUGUUUUUCAUAUUUUGAAAUGUUUUUGUUGUGAAAUAUUUACAGAUGACCAUUUCUGCGGCACAUGUCAACCCUGAGGAAGGCUCCCAUCUUGCUCUCCCUUCAGAGACACAGAUGGAUGAAGCCUCCUAUCUACAGAACACUAAUCAACAGAUGACCAUUUAUGCGGCAUAUGUCAACCCUGAGGAAGGCUCCCACCUUGCUCUCCCUUCAGAGACACAGAUGGAUGAAGCCUCCUGUCCACAGAACACUAAUCAACAGAUGACCAUUUAUGCGGCACAUGUCAACCCUGAGGAAGGCUCCCAUCUUGCUCUCCCAUCCACAGAACACUAAUCAACAGGUAAAUUCAUGUUCAGCACUUAAGCUUUACUCCUAGAGUCUUUCUGCCGUUUUUAUUUUCUUUUAAGCAGUUGACUUAAGGAAUUAGGUUUAUUGUGAUGGUC